GGCGCUAGUUUCUUCGGAGUGUACCCUAGGAUUUUGGCUUAGGGUUCGGGAAGUGAGAACAUGAGCUACGAGUAUCAUGAGCCCACCAAACUUCAGGGAGAGCAUCAUCAAUCUCUCUAUCAUCUUUGCUGACAAUCCAGAGCAUCCGAGGAGUCGACAGACAUCGAUCGAAGGAGUUCGAUCAACAUCGGCCAUCAAAAAGGUGCAGUCACGAACUAGCAUUCGUGAGGAG
RNAcentral lists this long non-coding RNA (232 nucleotides) under Elaeis guineensis (African oil palm). RNAcentral describes it as "long non-coding RNA (EGUI_LNC051941)". The record is from RNAcentral. Lineage: Eukaryota; Viridiplantae; Streptophyta; Magnoliopsida; Arecales; Arecaceae.